Physella acuta is the source of this 414-nucleotide long non-coding RNA. RefSeq lists it as uncharacterized. Lineage: Eukaryota; Metazoa; Mollusca; Gastropoda; Physidae. The record is from RefSeq and is a predicted model, not a curated record.
UGAAAUGAUGAACGUCGUAGAAUUCCUACAAAGUUAUCAGUGUCAGUAACUAGCAUACGCUUAGUACGUUUCAUUUGAUGUCUUGGACUCCAAUGGGUACCUCAGAUGUGUUAGUGAUUUUGGAACUGCCAUAAAAAAGUUUGUUAACCUUGAAAGACUUGACUUGGAUUACGAAUAUCUCGUCGGCCCUAUUUUCGAGAAUCUGGGAUCUCUCGGAGCCACAUUAAAAUAUUUAAACAUUACAGUGACCUACGCUUAUGAUGUCAUAAGCGACUUGCGAUGGUGGAACCUCACAAAGCUUGCCCCGAGCUCGUUGUUUCCUUAAAAGUAUUGAUGUAUCCAGGAAGGAUCAUCUUGUCUCCACACAUGCCGUUGGUCAGUCUGUCCAUACAGUCCAUACAGGACCUAUACCAC